GAUGAACGCUGGCGGCGUGCCUAAUACAUGCAAGUCGAGCGAACAGACGAGGAGCUUGCUCCUCUGACGUUAGCGGCGGACGGGUGAGUAACACGUGGAUAACCUACCUAUAGGACUGGGAUAACUUCGGGAAACCGGAGCUAAUACCGGAUAAUAUAUUGAACCGCAUGGUUCAAUAGUGAAAGACGGUUUUGCUGUCACUUAUAGAUGGAUCCGCGCCGCAUUAGCUAGUUGGUAAGGUAACGGCUUACCAAGGCAACGAUGCGUAGCCGACCUGAGAGGGUGAUCGGCCACACUGGAACUGAGACACGGUCCAGACUCCUACGGGAGGCAGCAGUAGGGAAUCUUCCGCAAUGGGCGAAAGCCUGACGGAGCAACGCCGCGUGAGUGAUGAAGGUCUUCGGAUCGUAAGACUCUGUUAUUAGGGAAGAACAAAUGUGUAAGUAACUAUGCACGUCUUGACGGUACCUAAUCAGAAAGCCACGGCUAACUACGUG
This 497-nucleotide ribosomal RNA is filed under the name uncultured bacterium. Its description in RNAcentral is "partial 16S ribosomal RNA". It matches the Rfam family "Bacterial small subunit ribosomal RNA", at positions 28 to 507 of the family's 1533-position model. The record is from RNAcentral.